RNAcentral lists this ribosomal RNA (285 nucleotides) under uncultured Acidobacteriota bacterium. RNAcentral's name for it is "uncultured Acidobacteria bacterium partial 16S ribosomal RNA". It matches the Rfam family "Bacterial small subunit ribosomal RNA", at positions 508 to 792 of the family's 1533-position model. Lineage: Bacteria; Pseudomonadati; Acidobacteriota. The record is from RNAcentral.
CCAGCAGCCGCGGUAAUACGUAGGCAGCAAGCGUUGUUCGGAAUUACUGGGCGUAAAGAGUGUGUAGGCGGUGCUCUAAGUCUGUCGUGAAAUCUCCCGGCUCAACCGGGAGGGUGCGGCGGAAACUGGAGUGCUCGAGGGAUGGAGAGGUAAGCGGAAUUCCUGGUGUAGCGGUGAAAUGCGUAGAUAUCAGGAGGAACACCUGUGGUGUAGACAGCUUACUGGACAUCUUCUGACGCUGAGACACGAAAGCGUGGGUAGCAAACAGGAUUAGAUACCCUGGUA